CCUACGGGAGGCUGCAGUAGGGAAUCUUUGACAAUGGGCGAAAGCCUGAUGGAGCAACGCCGCGUGCAGGAUGAAGGCCUUAUGGUUGUUAACUGCUUUUAUAAGCGAGAAAUAUGAUGGUAACUUAUGAAUAAGGAUCGGCUAACUACGUGCCAGCAGCCGCGGUCAUACGUAGGAUGCGAGCAUUAUCCGGAGUGACUGGGUGUAAAGAGUUGUGUAGGUGGCAUAAUAAGUAGCUAGUGAAAUCUGGUGGCUCAACCAUUCAGACUAUUAGCUAAACUGUUGAGCUCGAGACCGUUGGAGGUAACUGGAAUUUCUGGUGUAGGAGUGAAAUCCGUAGAUAUUAGAAAGAACACCGAUAGCGAAGGCAGGUUGCUGGGACGGUUCUGACACUGAGGCACGAAAGCGUAGGGAGCAAACGGGAUUAGAUACCCCUGUAGUC
This 442-nucleotide ribosomal RNA is filed under the name uncultured bacterium. RNAcentral describes it as "partial 16S ribosomal RNA". It matches the Rfam family "Bacterial small subunit ribosomal RNA", at positions 338 to 795 of the family's 1533-position model. The record is from RNAcentral.